Molecule: ribosomal RNA, 279 nt
Filed under: uncultured bacterium
Lineage: Bacteria
Description: partial 16S ribosomal RNA
Rfam family: Bacterial small subunit ribosomal RNA
Source: RNAcentral
UGCCAGCCGCCGCGGUAAUACGUAAUCCCCAAGCGUUACCCGGAAUUACUGGGUGUAAAGGGUUCGUAGGUGGAUUAAUAAGUUGGACAUGAAAGACCGAGGCUCAACCUCGUGUUUGUAUUCAAAACUGUUAAUCUAGAAUUAGGAAGAGGUAAGCGGAAUUCUAAGUGUAGGGGUGCAAUCCGUAGAUACUUAGAAGAACACCAAAAGCGAAGGCAGCUUACUGGUACUAUAUUGACACUGAGGAACGAAAGCGUGGGUAGCGAAAAGGAUUAGAUA